Molecule: non-coding RNA, 142 nt
Filed under: Pseudopedinella elastica
Lineage: Eukaryota; Dictyochophyceae; Pedinellales
Source: RNAcentral
GGGGGGGGGAUCCCCUUUGUCGCACAAUUUGCCUUGUUUUGAAGGUGCGGCUCCACGAAUAUGUGGACGUGUUCGCUGCACUGGCCUUGCCGAAGCUUCCUUGGCCAAGAUCGCCUAAACAGAUGCGCAACGGGCGAGGCGG